RNAcentral lists this ribosomal RNA (456 nucleotides) under uncultured Bacteroidota bacterium. RNAcentral's name for it is "bacterial SSU rRNA". It matches the Rfam family "Bacterial small subunit ribosomal RNA", at positions 340 to 793 of the family's 1533-position model. The record is from RNAcentral. Lineage: Bacteria; Pseudomonadati; Bacteroidota.
UACGGGAGGCAGCAGUGAGGAAUAUUGGUCAAUGGACGCAAGUCUGAACCAGCCAUGCCGCGUGAAGGAUGAAGGCGUUCUGCGUUGUAAACUUCUUUUAUCUGGGAAGAAACCUGAGUUUUCUAAUUCAGCCGACGGUACCAGAGGAAUAAGCACCGGCUAACUCCGUGCCAGCAGCCGCGGUGAUACGGAGGGUGCAAGCGUUAUCCGGAUUUACUGGGUUUAAAGGGUGUGUAGGCGGGUCUAUAAGUCAGUGGUGAAAUCUCCGGGCUCAACCCGGAAACUGCCAUUGAUACUAUAGGUCUUGAAUAUUGUGGAGGUGGGCGGAAUGUGUCAUGUAGCGGUGAAAUGCUUAGAGAUGACACAGAACACCGAUUGCGAAGGCAGCCCACUACGCAACUAUUGACGCUGAGGCACGAAAGCGUGGGGAUCAAACAGGAUUAGAUACCCUGGUAG